UAGGGAAUCUUCCGCAAUGGACGCAAGUCUGACGGAGCAACGCCGCGUGAGUGAAGAAGGAUUUCGGUUCGUAAAACUCUGUUGUUAGAGAAGAACAGCGCAUAGAGUAACUGUUAUGCGUGUGACGGUAUCUAACCAGAAAGCCACGGCUAACUACGUGCCAGCAGCCGCGGUAAUACGUAGGUGGCAAGCGUUGUCCGGAUUUAUUGGGCGUAAAGCGAGCGUAGGCGGUUUUUUAAGUCUGAUGUGAAAGCCCACGGCUCAACCGUGGAGGGUCAUUGGAAACUGGAAAACUUGAGUGCAGAAGAGGAAAGUGGAAUUCCAUGUGUAGCGGUGAAAUGCGCAGAGAUAUGGAGGAACACCAGUGGCGAAGGCGACUUUCUGGUCUGUAACUGACGCUGAUGUGCGAAAGCGUGGGGAUCAAACAGG
Molecule: ribosomal RNA, 429 nt
Filed under: Bacteroidota bacterium
Lineage: Bacteria; Pseudomonadati; Bacteroidota
Description: Bacteroidetes bacterium partial 16S ribosomal RNA
Rfam family: Bacterial small subunit ribosomal RNA
Source: RNAcentral